Molecule: long non-coding RNA, 836 nt
Organism: Nothoprocta perdicaria
Lineage: Eukaryota; Metazoa; Chordata; Aves; Tinamiformes; Tinamidae
Exons: 2
Source: RefSeq, a predicted model, not a curated record
AGUAAAUGGUGCACUUUGUUUCUGGGAGUUGUCUUGUUCAUCUGAUCAGCGUUGGAGGAGUCUCUAGGAUGGAUAACAGCAAAGUCUCCCAGAAGAUCUGGAGUGGUGGAUCCAGAGGACCCAGAGGAAAUCACACUGUAAAUCUGUACCAUGAGGAGACCAAAAGUUUCUUCAGCAGCAAGAGAUAACCCAGGACUGCUGACAGGUAUGGGGACCAGGGAGCGAUGCCACAUACAUCAAGAAGGCACCAUUCUUGAAGACAGAGACUUUGGGGCAGCAUGGCAGUCCUGUGUGGAAAGCUUAAGGAGAUCUGCAGGUGGGAACGCACCACCAAGCCAGCCGCUUGCUUGGUUUAGUCCAUGGACCUCUGGGGUCUGCACACCCGAGGCUGAAAACUUUCAACUGACCCAAAACUUCCUCUCUGACUGGACUUUUGAUAUGAUAGCAAUGGCACCAAAAGUUCAAUAUAUCUGCUUUGCCAUAACUUUUUCAACCUGCUAAUUAUCCCAGGACUAUUUGCAGUUAAAAUUGCUCUGACUUAAUUACAUGAGACUUAAUUUCAGUUGCUUGGUCAGCUUUAAAAACAUAUAUUCAAGUGUGAACCACAAGCACAGCGUUUUGGAAGCCUCUUUGUCUUCUCACUUUAUGUUGGUGUAAGCAAAGAAGCUGUGCUAUGGUUCUCCAUUUUGUUACACAUGUCCAAGUCCAUCUCAGUUCUGGAUAGACUGUUUCCAGGCUCAUCAAUUUAAGGGAGGCACAAACUACUCCUUAUAGCAUGGCUUAUGUUUUUUGCAACAGUGUAAACAUUGAAUGUUUGUCUUAUGCUUACACUUUUU